Molecule: ribosomal RNA, 253 nt
Filed under: uncultured bacterium
Lineage: Bacteria
Description: partial 16S ribosomal RNA
Rfam family: Bacterial small subunit ribosomal RNA
Source: RNAcentral
AACGUAGGGGGCGAGCGUUGCCCGGAUUCACUGGGCGUAAAGCGCGUGUAGGCGGUCCGUUAAGUCGGAUGUGAAAUCUCUGGGCUCAACCCAGAAAUCGCAUCCGAUACUGGCGGACUUGAGGACGGUAGAGGUCGGUGGAAUACCCGGUGUACCGGUGAAAUGGACAGAUAUCGGGUGGAACACCAGUGGCGAAGGCGGCCGACUGGGCCGAUCCUGACGCUGAGACGCGAAAGCUAGGGGAGCGAACCGG